UGAGUAACCUGCCCUUAACUCUGGGAUAAGCCUGGGAAACUGGGUCUAAUACCGGAUAUGACUCCUCAUCGCAUGGUGGGGGGUGGAAAGCUUUAUUGUGGUUUUGGAUGGACUCGCGGCCUAUCAGCUUGUUGGUGAGGUAAUGGCUCACCAAGGCGACGACGGGUAGCCGGCCUGAGAGGGUGACCGGCCACACUGGGACUGAGACAACGGCCCAGACUCCGUACGGGAGCAG
This 235-nucleotide ribosomal RNA is filed under the name uncultured bacterium. RNAcentral describes it as "partial 16S ribosomal RNA". It matches the Rfam family "Bacterial small subunit ribosomal RNA", at positions 118 to 347 of the family's 1533-position model. The record is from RNAcentral.